AACUGGGAUUAGAUACCCCACUAUUUUUAGUAGUAAAUUUAAUUUAAGUUUACCAGAGUACUACGAAUAAAAAAUUUAAAACUCAAAGAGCUUGGCGGUGUUUUAGACCUCUCAGGGGAACCUGUCUCAUAAUCGACAAUCCACGUUAAACCCGACCCUUUGUAGCAAUUCAGCUUGUAUACCGUUGUCGUCAGGUAACUUCUUAAAAUAUAGUAGUUAGCUCGAAAAUAUUAUUAAUUAAUACGUCAAAUCAAGGUGCAGCUAAUAAAAGGGAGAGGAUGGGUUACAAUUAUAUAUUUAUAACUACGGAAAACAUCUUAAACAAAGAUGCUAGAAGGAGGACUUGAAAGUAAUUUUGAUUAUAUAAACAGAAUGAAUAAGGCUCUGAAACGUG
Molecule: ribosomal RNA, 394 nt
Filed under: Conus sp. CMFRI MBD C1.2
Lineage: Eukaryota; Metazoa; Mollusca; Gastropoda; Neogastropoda; Conidae
Also listed under: 2 other names
Description: partial 12S ribosomal RNA
Source: RNAcentral